CACGUAGGGGGCAAGCGUUGUCCGGAAUUAUUGGGCGUAAAGAGCUCGUAGGCGGCUCGGUAAGUCAGGUGUCAAAUCCUCAGGCUCAACCUGGGGCUCCACCUGAUACUGCUGUGGCUAGAGUCCGGUAGGGGAGCGUGGAAUUCCUGGUGUAGCGGUGAAAUGCGCAGAUAUCAGGAGGAACACCAGCGGCGAAGGCGGCGCUCUGGGCCGGAACUGACGCUGAGGAGCGAAAGCGUGGGGAGCGAACAGG
RNAcentral lists this ribosomal RNA (253 nucleotides) under uncultured bacterium. RNAcentral describes it as "partial 16S ribosomal RNA". It matches the Rfam family "Bacterial small subunit ribosomal RNA", at positions 524 to 776 of the family's 1533-position model. The record is from RNAcentral.